Molecule: ribosomal RNA, 499 nt
Filed under: uncultured bacterium
Lineage: Bacteria
Description: partial 16S ribosomal RNA
Rfam family: Bacterial small subunit ribosomal RNA
Source: RNAcentral
GACGAACGCUGGCGGCGUGCCUAAUACAUGCAAGUCGAGCGAAGUUUUUCUGGUGCUUGCACUAGAAAAACUUAGCGGCGAACGGGUGAGUAACACGUAAAGAACCUGCCUCAUAGACUGGGACAACUAUUGGAAACGAUAGCUAAUACCGGAUAACAGUAUUUCUCGCACGAGAGAUAUUUAAAAGUUGGUUAUGCUAACACUAUGAGAUGGCUUUGCGGUGCAUUAGCUAGUUGGUGGGGUAAAGGCCCACCAAGGCGACGCUGCAUAGCCGACCUGAGAGGGUGAUCGGCCACACUGGGACUGAGACACGGCCCAGACUCCUACGGGAGGCAGCAGUAGGGAAUCUUCCGCAAUGGGCGAAAGCCUGACGGAGCAACGCCGCGUGAGUGAAGAAGGAUUUCGGUUCGUAAAGCUCUGUUGUUAGGGAAGAAUGGAUAUGUAGUAACUAUACAUGUAAGAGACGGUACCUAACCAGAAAGCCACGGCUAACUACGUG